RNAcentral lists this unclassified non-coding RNA (294 nucleotides) under Hevea brasiliensis (rubber tree). The record is from RNAcentral. Lineage: Eukaryota; Viridiplantae; Streptophyta; Magnoliopsida; Malpighiales; Euphorbiaceae.
AGAAGGUCAGGGAUAUAAACGGAGAAUUUCUUGGUCAAGGCACCAACUUGAAAUUGCCAAGUGACUAUACCCUCUGCAGCAAAGCCAUGGACUAAAACUACUACUGGUUUGCUUGGUUUAGUUAAGGUUUGAGUGUUGGUCUUUUCACCUUUUUGGGAUUUCUGUUUCUCAAUAGUUUCAACCGGAACCCAAAAGUUCAUCACAGUGCCUGGCUCAAUCUCUACUGGAUGGGGUUUCACCCCUGCCAUUUUCAUUAGCCCAUGCAAUAAGGGCCUCUGAGCUGCAACAAGGUUU